Molecule: transfer RNA, 72 nt
Filed under: Sus scrofa (pig)
Lineage: Eukaryota; Metazoa; Chordata; Mammalia; Artiodactyla; Suidae
Rfam family: tRNA
About the family: Transfer RNA (tRNA) molecules are approximately 80 nucleotides in length. Their secondary structure includes four short double-helical elements and three loops (D, anti-codon, and T loops).
Source: Rfam by way of RNAcentral
UCCCUGGUGAGCCAGUGGUUAAGAUUAGGCACUUUCACUGCUGUGGCUCAGGUUCAAUCCCUGAUCUGGGAA